This 648-nucleotide ribosomal RNA is filed under the name Escherichia coli. RNAcentral describes it as "bacterial LSU rRNA". It matches the Rfam family "Bacterial large subunit ribosomal RNA", at positions 883 to 1532 of the family's 2925-position model. Lineage: Bacteria; Pseudomonadati; Pseudomonadota; Gammaproteobacteria; Enterobacterales; Enterobacteriaceae. The record is from RNAcentral.
CGUGAAUUCAUCUCCGGGGGUAGAGCACUGUUUCGGCAAGGGGGUCAUCCCGACUUACCAACCCGAUGCAAACUGCGAAUACCGGAGAAUGUUAUCACGGGAGACACACGGCGGGGGCUAACGUCCGUCGUGAAGAGGGAAACAACCCAGACCGCCAGCUAAGGUCCCAAAGUCAUGGUUAAGUGGGAAACGAUGUGGGAAGGCCCAGACAGCCAGGAUGUUGGCUUAGAAGCAGCCAUCAUUUAAAGAAAGCGUAAUAGCUCACUGGUCGAGUCGGCCUGCGCGGAAGAUGUAACGGGGCUAAACCAUGCACCGAAGCUGCGGCAGCGACGCUUAUGCGUUGUUGGGUAGGGGAGCGUUCUGUAAGCCUGUGAAGGUGUGCUGUGAGGCAUGCUGGAGGUAUCAGAAGUGCGAAUGCUGACAUAAGUAACGAUAAAGCGGGUGAAAAGCCCGCUCGCCGGAAGACCAAGGGUUCCUGUCCAACGUUAAUCGGGGCAGGGUGAGUCGACCCCUAAGGCGAGGCCGAAAGGCGUAGUCGAUGGGAAACAGGUUAAUAUUCCUGUACUUGGUGUUACUGCGAAGGGGGGACGGAGAAGGCUAUGUUGGCCGGGCGACGGUUGUCCCGGUUUAAGCGUGUAGGCUGGUUUU